Molecule: ribosomal RNA, 405 nt
Filed under: uncultured bacterium
Lineage: Bacteria
Description: partial 16S ribosomal RNA
Rfam family: Bacterial small subunit ribosomal RNA
Source: RNAcentral
GACGAACGCUGGCGGCGUGCUUAACACAUGCAAGUCGAACGAAGUGGCGGACGGGUGAGUAACGCGUGAGUAACUGCCCCCCUCUCUGGGAUAACAGUUGGAAACGGCUGCUAAUACCGGAUAGUGGGGGAUGACUCGCGUCCUAUCAGCUUGUUGGUGGGGUAGUGGCCUACCAAGGCGACGACGGGUAGCCGGUCUGGGAGGGCGAGAGGCCAAAGUGGGAUGAGAUACGGCCGAAAAGGCGACGGGAGGGAGCAGUGGGGAAGAUUGCACAAGGGGGUGAACCCUGAUGCAGCAACGCCGCGGGGGGGAUGACGGCCGUCGGGUUGUAAACCGCUGGCAGCCAUGACGCGGUAGUUGCAGAAGAAGCACCGGCUAACUACGUGCCAGCAGCCGCGGUAAUAC